Papaver somniferum (opium poppy) is the source of this 1275-nucleotide long non-coding RNA. RefSeq lists it as uncharacterized. NCBI's taxonomy places the organism in Eukaryota, Viridiplantae, Streptophyta, Magnoliopsida, Ranunculales, Papaveraceae. The record is from RefSeq and is a predicted model, not a curated record. The transcript is spliced from 5 exons.
GGGAAAUGAACAAUUUGCGGCCAUGGAACCUACUCAAUGCAUCAUCAUUGGUUAACCAUGCAGCGGCCAUGGAACCUCUCGUUCUUUCUUGAUGAGGGGACAGUUCAAAUGCUUACUCUAGUGCUGCUGUCUUGAACAAUCAUGAAAAUCUUUGUAGAUGUUAUAUCUGGACAGACCUAUUUAUGUAGAUUUGUUUGAAAAACACAGCGAAUACAAAACAUUUAAGGACGGAAACCAAAGAUUGAGCAAAUCCAGCUUGAAACAUUCCUCAAAGGCAGACAGUUUGCAACAGUCUUGCUACUGCAGCAGCUGUGCCUGGGUCUUCCACAACAACUCCUUGGUAGGCAGGUUGCACUUCCUCCUUGUAAUUGGACAGUACACAGAGUAUAAGUACUACUUCUAUAACAGUGUAACAAGUGUGAGCCAGUGGGAGACGCCGGAGGAGUUAACCUUAUUUGAGCAACAACAGCAGCAGCAAAAAUGACCCACCCACAAAAUCCUUCGGUUCAACAGUUUCUGUCUCAGGUCCUAUCUACCUGACAAGGCCCUCGGUCACAACAAAGUCGGAUUCAACCGCGGAGAUGCGUCACAACUUUCUUGUUGGUCAUCAAAAUGCUCAGCAUGGGACUGGAUGAUCAUGGUUAUGCUCAAUCACAGGUUUCAGCCAAUUCAGUUGCUGACCCUGCUCAUUUCCACCAGGGUCUUCAGGCACAGGAGUGGGCACGGAAGAACAAACCUACAGGUUCAGCCUUUAAUGUUUUUGUUUACCAAAGUUUCAUUUCCACUUACAGGACCAUAAUAUCGAACCAAUAUGCCAGCUAAGGCUUAAGUACUUAAUGAUAGAAGGUCUAUGCCACAUGAUGGAAAUGAGUGGUACAAAGAUGGUUAAUGCGGCGAAAUUUAUGGUAGAGAAUGCAUGCUAACAAAAGGAGAAGUCUGAAGGGUGACAGUUAGUGCUGUGAUGUGCUCGUCUGAUGUUAUAUGCAAGCGCAAUGUUGUUCACCUUUUGAUUCUCAAAAAAGUUGAAAUCUGUAAUAAUCAUUUAAUUUUGGCCCGUUGGGUUUUUUGCGUGUGUAAUAUUCUCACUGUCAUGGGUAAUAUAAGCUCCUUUAGUUUUCGUAGUGAUGCAAGUCGAGAGCUGUUGCAUUGUUGAUAUUACCAGAGGGAGGCUCAAGGCCAAUUGGGAAGGUUAUACACGGGACAAUUAAUUGCCACUGUAUUGAUUGGGAAGGUCUGUUGAUAUUAUAUUUGAAGAAGCUUUUUCUUUUCUUUUUG